Small nuclear RNA from Meriones unguiculatus (Mongolian gerbil), 106 nucleotides. Lineage: Eukaryota; Metazoa; Chordata; Mammalia; Rodentia; Muridae. The record is from Ensembl.
GUGCUUGUCUCUGUAGCACAUAUACUGAAAUUGGAAUUAUACAGAGAAUUUUGCAUGGCCCCUGUGCAAGGAUAACUGGAAAAUUCGAGUAGUUUUCCAUAUUGUU